AGCAGAUUUAACUCCUUUGACUGCAAAAAAGGUUGCUGUAAAAUUUGAUUUUUUCAAGAUUGCAGGUCUGAUACCCGUUAAGGCACCUGGAAGAGCUCGUGGUGAGUUGGAAAUUACAUAUUUGGAUGAAGAACUGCGAAUUUCCAGGGGUGACAAAGGAAAUUUGUUCAUCUUGAAAAUGAUUGAUCCCUCUUACCGUGUACCCGUCUGAUGUGUUGAUCACAUUGAGGCACUGUAAUCUUUUGGGUGGGCAGACAAUGAGAAUGAAAAGCUUACUGCAGAUUUUACUCAGACAUCCCUUAGCUUCGUUUGUUGUAUAAAAACGGUAUAGAAAACAGUUUUGCUUGUUAGCUUUCUUUUUUUCAGGCCUGCAAGUUUUGUAUACGGACGUGCCGACUCGUUUCCUGUAUAUACAUUUACCAUUUGUGAAGCUGUAAAAUUCAGAUGACUGAAUAUAUUUAUUGUUAUGAGAAAUCAGAUAGGAAAAUGUAUAUACAGGAAAC
This 503-nucleotide unclassified non-coding RNA is filed under the name Hevea brasiliensis (rubber tree). The record is from RNAcentral. Lineage: Eukaryota; Viridiplantae; Streptophyta; Magnoliopsida; Malpighiales; Euphorbiaceae.